RNAcentral lists this ribosomal RNA (220 nucleotides) under uncultured bacterium. Its description in RNAcentral is "partial 16S ribosomal RNA". It matches the Rfam family "Bacterial small subunit ribosomal RNA", at positions 524 to 741 of the family's 1533-position model. The record is from RNAcentral.
UACGUAGGGUGCGAGCGUUAAUCGGAAUUACUGGGCGUAAAGCGUGCGCAGGCGGUUUUUGUAAGCCAGGUGUGAAAGCCCCGGGCUUAACCUGGGAAUGGCAUUUGGGACUGCAAGGCUUGAGUGCGGGCAGAGGAGACUGGAAUUCCUGGUGUAGCAGUGAAAUGCGUAGAUAUCAGGAGGAAUACCGAUGGCGAAGGCAGGUCUCUGGGCUGACACU